Molecule: ribosomal RNA, 449 nt
Filed under: uncultured organism
Description: partial 16S ribosomal RNA
Rfam family: Bacterial small subunit ribosomal RNA
Source: RNAcentral
ACACUCCUGCGGGAGGCAGCAGUGGGGAAUAUUGGACAAUGGGCGCAAGCCUGAUCCAGCCAUGCCGCGUGAGUGAUGAAGGCCCUAGGGUUGUAAAGCUCUUUCACCGGAGAAGAUAAUGACGGUAUCCGGAGAAGAAGCCCCGGCUAACUUCGUGCCAGCAGCCGCGGUAAUACGAAGGGGGCUAGCGUUGUUCGGAAUUACUGGGCGUAAAGCGCACGUAGGCGGAUCGAUCAGUCAGGGGUGAAAUCCCAGGGCUCAACCCUGGAACUGCCUUUGAUACUGUCGAUCUGGAGUAUGGAAGAGGUGAGUGGAAUUCCGAGUGUAGAGGUGAAAUUCGUAGAUAUUCGGAGGAACACCAGUGGCGAAGGCGGCUCACUGGUCCAUUACUGACGCUGAGGUGCGAAAGCGUGGGGAGCAAACAGGAUUAGAUACCCCUGUAGUCCCAU